UACGAAGGGUGCAAACGUUGCUCGGAAUUAUUGGGCGUAAAGCGCACGUAGGCGGCCUUGUAAGUCGGAUGUGAAAUCCCUCGGCUUAACCAAGGAAGUGCAUCCGAAACUACAGAGCUUGAGUACUUAAGAGGAUCGCGGAAUUCCCGGUGUAGAGGUGAAAUUCGUAGAUAUCGGGAGGAACACCAGUGGCGAAGGCGGCGAUCUGGGAAGAUACUGACGCUGAGGUGCGAAAGCGUGGGGAGCAAACAGG
Molecule: ribosomal RNA, 253 nt
Filed under: uncultured bacterium
Lineage: Bacteria
Description: partial 16S ribosomal RNA
Rfam family: Bacterial small subunit ribosomal RNA
Source: RNAcentral